Molecule: ribosomal RNA, 421 nt
Filed under: uncultured eukaryote
Lineage: Eukaryota
Description: SSU rRNA
Rfam family: Eukaryotic small subunit ribosomal RNA
Source: RNAcentral
CAAUAGCGUAUAUUAAAGUUGUUGCGGUUAAAAGCUCGUAGUUGGAUUUCUGCCGAGGACGACCGGUCCGCCCUCUGGGUGAGUAUCUGGCUCGGCCUGGGCAUCUUCUUGGAGAACGUAGCUGCACUUGACUGUGUGGUGCGGUAUCCAGGACUUUUACUUUGAGGAAAUUAGAGUGUUUCAAGCAGGCACACGCCUUGAAUACAUUAGCAUGGAAUAAUAAGAUAGGACCUCGGUUCUAUUUUGUUGGUUUCUAGAACAUACGCAAUGAUUAAUAGGGAUAAUUGGGGGCACUCGUAUUAACACGUCAGAGGUGGAAUUCUUAGAUUGUGUUACGACGAACUACUGCGAAAGCAUUUGCCAAGGAUGUUUUCAUUGAUCAAGAACGAAAGUAUGGGGAUCGAAGACGAUUAGAUACCAU